GUGGUGGUCUGCAGUACAGGACGAAAUUGGAAAAACAAAGAGAAGAUUAACAUGGCCCCUGCUCAAGGAUGACACACAAAUUCGUGAAGCGAAGCGUUCCAUAUUAUU
Small nuclear RNA from Ornithorhynchus anatinus (platypus), 108 nucleotides. The record is from RefSeq and is a predicted model, not a curated record. Lineage: Eukaryota; Metazoa; Chordata; Mammalia; Monotremata; Ornithorhynchidae.